RNAcentral lists this ribosomal RNA (789 nucleotides) under uncultured Pelagibacteraceae bacterium. RNAcentral describes it as "bacterial SSU rRNA". It matches the Rfam family "Bacterial small subunit ribosomal RNA", at positions 41 to 878 of the family's 1533-position model. The record is from RNAcentral. Lineage: Bacteria; Pseudomonadati; Pseudomonadota; Alphaproteobacteria; Candidatus Pelagibacterales; Candidatus Pelagibacteraceae.
GGCACGCCUAACACAUGCAAGUCGAACGAAGUAGCAAUACUUAGUGGCAGACGGGUGAGUAACAUGUGGGUAUCUACCCUUUGGCCUGGAAUAACACGAGGAAACUUGUGCUAAUACUGGAUAAGUCUUUACGGAGAAAGCUUUAUGCACCAUUGGAUGAGCCCGCACUUGAUUAGUUUGUUGGUGGGGUAAUGGCCUACCAAGACUGUGAUCAAUAGCUGAUUUGAGAGGAUGAUCAGCCACAUUGGGACUGAGACACGGCCCAAACUCCUACGGGAGGCAGCAGUGGGGAAUCUUGCACAAUGGAGGAAACUCUGAUGCAGCGAUGCCGCGUGAGUGAAGAAGGCCCUUGGGUUGUAAAGCUCUUUCGUCGGGGAAGAAAAUGACUGUACCCGAAUAAGAAGGUCCGGCUAACUUCGUGCCAGCAGCCGCGGUAAUACGAAGGGACCUAGCGUAGUUCGGAAUUACUGGGCUUAAAGAGUUCGUAGGUGGUUGAAAAAGUUGGUGGUGAAAUCCCAGAGCUUAACUCUGGAACUGCCAUCAAAACUUUUCAGCUAGAGUAUGAUAGAGGAAAGCAGAAUUUCUAGUGUAGAGGUGAAAUUCGUAGAUAUUAGAAAGAAUACCAAUUGCGAAGGCAGCUUUCUGGAUCAUUACUGACACUGAGGAACGAAAGCAUGGGUAGCGAAGAGGAUUAGAUACCCUCGUAGUCCAUGCCGUAAACGAUGUGUGUUAGACGUUGGAAAUUUAUUUUCAGUGUCGCAGCGAAAGCGAUAAACACACCGCCUGGGG